UUUAAUUUUGGUAGUGGCUGCUCUCCAUUAGUUCCUCAUGAUACAGAGAUAGUCAGCAGCUUAUGUAAAACAAUGGAGGAGCAGAACCAGCUCUCUUCUGAAGAAAAUGUGCCAUUUGCUCAACAUCUGUCCAGCUAACUAUCGCUACGGAAGAGAAGUCCACGUACGUCCACCACACAAAUUUUUUUACAAUCCUCCAAAAACUAAACGACAUAUAUAUACAAAAAACCGGCCCAGUCAAACAAUAAACCAGACCCAGUCAAACCCACGUCUAGGUGCCAACGUCGACCAGCCCAUCAUGGAUUUGCAGUUCCACGAUCUUCCAGCGACGUAGCCAACGUCACCCAGCCUCUCGCCGGCCUCUGCCUCCUCUACGGCCGCGUCGGGCUCCUCCUGCCGCUCGCCGGCCUCUGCCUCCUCUACGGCCGUCGGGCUCCUCCUCUACGUCCGCGUCGGGCUCCUCCUCUACGUCCGCGUCGGGGCUCCUCCUCUACGUCCGCGUCGGGUCUCAGCUCCAGCCUCUGCCUCCUCUACGGCCGCGUUGGGGCUCCUCCUCUACGGCCGCGGCGGGUCUCGGGUCCAUGCUCUGCCUCCUCUACAGCCGCGUCGGGGCCGCGUCGGGGCUCCUCCUCUACGGCCGCGGCGGGACUCAGGUCCGGGCUCUUCUGAACCGACCGAUACAUGGUCGACGCUAAGGAAAUUUGGAAACUUCAAGUUACACCAUCCUUGCAUUUAACCCGGGUCAUCCUUCAACACGUGCACUUCAUGAUAUUCGCCAGAAAAUAAUAGGUGGUUGAUUGACAUGGAGUUUGUUCGAGAAUUUAUUGAGAGGAGGUGGGAUUUGCUAGCAAGCAGUCCGUCUACAAAUGAUCCCGACGCAAGAUGUAUACAAAGAAAACUCGACCCAUGUAGUAGAGAUAGCAGAAAUCAGUUGUGUCUAUUACGCAUGAUUGUAUCUUUCAAUUUGUAAGUUUAGUUGUCUCGUGAUGAAGAUCAUAUGUAGUAUUUUUUUAAUGGAGCUUAGUUUUUGUUAGUUUUUGUUAAGUACGUUGUUAUCUGACAUAUUUUUUACUUCAUUAGUAUGAGUGUAUGACCUAGAAUUAGUUCUUCUAUUUUCAUCUAUAUAUUUACAAGCUAUACAUAUAAUGAGACUCCUUGGAAGUUCAUAAAAACAAUUCAACAUCUUCAUUUGUGAGUAUACUCUGGUUUUGUUUCAUGUCUUGUUUCGGCCUUGGGAUCUGACAUGAAGAACUUGUCUUGUCUUGUUUCCACGAAA
Molecule: long non-coding RNA, 1276 nt
Organism: Hordeum vulgare subsp. vulgare (domesticated barley)
Lineage: Eukaryota; Viridiplantae; Streptophyta; Magnoliopsida; Poales; Poaceae
Exons: 4
Source: RefSeq, a predicted model, not a curated record